CGGCGGGGAGGAGUUUCCUUCUCGGAGUAGGGCUUCUUUCACACGGUUUCGCCCAGCAAGAUUACCUGCGGCGGAGGUUGAGUAGGGGUUGUUGUCUUUGCCGCGGACCCCCUCCACUGGGAGGGGUCGGGUGGGAGGAAUCGUCGAGGUUGCCAGUUUCUCCUGGAGGCAGAUGCCUUCUGACCCCAGCGCUCCGGUCCACCUCCCACACAGACAAUCAGGUCCGUCCCCGGAGUCUCAGGUGGCACCACGGCGGCAUCCUAGGCUAAUGAUUUGGUGGAAAGGGAAGGGGUGGUCCUUCUGCCUGGACCCCUCUCGGCUGACUCACAGGAAGUGCUAGCAGGGCCGGGCACUGGGCGCAGCAGCUCCAGGAUUCCGCCCUCCCCGCCGCGUCUGCCGCCCUCUCCCUCCUACGUGGGCUUUGCCGUAUCUCCCGUAGAACAAUGAAGGACUUCCAAGUUUGCUAAGACUCGCAGGCACAUUCUUUGGACUUCUGUGAUAGUCUUCAAAAUGUUUUGCCACCGACUUUUACAAGAAGCUGUUUUUUAAAAAGCCCUUCCCUUCGUGGAUUGCUUUGUCUGAAGAUUACUCAGGGUGACCAUGGUUCAGCGCUUUAGCCUCAGGAGGCAGCUAUCCAAGGCGGGCCUCUCACUGUUGUGGCCUCUCCCGUCGCGGAGCACAGGCUCCAGACGUGCAGGCUCAGCGGCCAUGGCUCACAGGCCCAGCCGCUCCGCGGCAUGUGGGAUCUUCCCGGACUGGGGCACGAACCUGUGUCCCCUGCAUCGGCAGGCGGACUGUCAACCACUGCGCCACCAGGGAAGCCCUGAAGAUAACUUCUGCAUGUAACACAUAAGUUUGUAGUAUAGAGUUACCAACCCUUUAAGAAAUUUUUUAGAUGGACCUCUUUGGAGUAAGUUAACCAUACUAUAAUGAAAGCACAUUUUGGGAAUGGUGUAUAAAGGCAAGAAGACAUUUUACUUGUUAUAUCUGUAUGUAGAAGUGGCAUGUAAUACUUAAUAAAAUAUUCUGAUUUGUUCUUAA
Molecule: long non-coding RNA, 1041 nt
Organism: Lagenorhynchus albirostris (white-beaked dolphin)
Lineage: Eukaryota; Metazoa; Chordata; Mammalia; Artiodactyla; Delphinidae
Exons: 2
Source: RefSeq, a predicted model, not a curated record